GCAGCCGCGGUAAUACGUAGGUGGCGAGCGUUGUCCGGAUUUACUGGGCGUAAAGGGAGCGUAGGCGGACUUUUAAGUGAGAUGUGAAAUACCCGGGCUCAACUUGGGUGCUGCAUUUCAAACUGGAAGUCUAGAGUGCAGGAGAGGAGAAUGGAAUUCCUAGUGUAGCGGUGAAAUGCGUAGAGAUUAGGAAGAACACCAGUGGCGAAGGCGAUUCUCUGGACUGUAACUGACGCUGAGGCUCGAAAGCGUGGGGAGCAAACAGGAUUAGAUACCCU
Molecule: ribosomal RNA, 278 nt
Filed under: uncultured Clostridium sp.
Lineage: Bacteria; Bacillati; Bacillota; Clostridia; Eubacteriales; Clostridiaceae
Description: partial 16S ribosomal RNA
Rfam family: Bacterial small subunit ribosomal RNA
Source: RNAcentral